Molecule: ribosomal RNA, 119 nt
Filed under: Propithecus coquereli (Coquerel's sifaka)
Lineage: Eukaryota; Metazoa; Chordata; Mammalia; Primates; Indriidae
Source: RNAcentral
GUCUACAGCCAUACCACCCUGAAUGCGCCCAAUCUCGUCUGAUCUUGGAAGCUAAGCAGGGUCGGGCCUGGUUAGUACUUGGAUGGGGGACCGCCUGGGAAUAUUGGGUGCUGUAGGCU